This 190-nucleotide ribosomal RNA is filed under the name Staphylococcus epidermidis. RNAcentral describes it as "partial 16S ribosomal RNA". It matches the Rfam family "Bacterial small subunit ribosomal RNA", at positions 1 to 184 of the family's 1533-position model. Lineage: Bacteria; Bacillati; Bacillota; Bacilli; Caryophanales; Staphylococcaceae. The record is from RNAcentral.
UUUUAUGGAGAGUUUGAUCCUGGCUCAGGAUGAACGCUGGCGGCGUGCCUAAUACAUGCAAGUCGAGCGAACAGACGAGGAGCUUGCUCCUCUGACGUUAGCGGCGGACGGGUGAGUAACACGUGGAUAACCUACCUAUAAGACUGGGAUAACUUCGGGAAACCGGAGCUAAUACCGGAUAAUAUAUUGA